AAAGGGUGAUAGCCCCGUACACUAAAAUGCACAGGUCGUGAGUUCGAUGAGUAGGGCGGGACACGUGACAUCCUGUCUGAAUAUGGGGGGACCAUCCUCCAAGGCUAAAUACUCCUGACUGACCGAUAGUGAACCAGUACCGUGAGGGAAAGGCGAAAAGAACCCCGGCGAGGGGAGUGAAAUAGAACCUGAAACCGUGUACGUACAAGCAGUGGGAGCACCUUCGUGGUGUGACUGCGUACCUUUUGUAUAAUGGGUCAGCGACUUAUAUUUUGUAGCAAGGUUAACCGUAUAGGGGAGCCGUAGGGAAACCGAGUCUUAACUGGGCGAAUAGUUGCAAGGUAUAGACCCGAAACCCGGUGAUCUAGCCAUGGGCAGGUUGAAGGUUGGGUAACACUAACUGGAGGACCGAACCGACUAAUGUUGAAAAAUUAGCGGAUGACUUGUGGCUGGGGGUGAAAGGCCAAUCAAACCGGGAGAUAGCUGGUUCUCCCCGAAAGCUAUUUAGGUAGCGCCUCGUGAACUCAUCUUCGGGGGUAGAGCACUGUUUCGGCUAGGGGGCCAUCCCGGCUUACCAAACCGAUGCAAACUCCGAAUACCGAAGAAUGUUAUCACGGGAGACACACGGCGGGUGCUAACGUCCGUCGUGAAGAGGGAAACAACCCAGACCGCCAGCUAAGGUCCCAAAGUCAUGGUUAAGUGGGAAACGAUGUGGGAAGGCAUAGACAGCCAGGAUGUUGGCUUAGAAGCAGCCAUCAUUUAAAGAAAGCGUAAUAGCUCACUGGUCGAGUCGGCCUGCGCGGAAGAUGUAACGGGGCUAAACCAUGCACCGAAGCUGCGGCAGCGACGCUUAGGCGUUGUUGGGUAGGGGAGCGUUCUGUAAGCCGUUGAAGGUGGCCUGUGAGGGUUGCUGGAGGUAUCAGAAGUGCGAAUGCUGACAUAAGUAACGAUAAAGCGGGUGAAAAGCCCGCUCGCCGGAAGACCAAGGGUUCCUGUCCAACGUUAAUCGGGGCAGGGUGAGUCGACCCCUAAGGCGAGGCUGAAAAGCGUAGUCGAUGGGAAACAGGUUAAUAUUCCUGUACUUGGUGUUACUGCGAAGGGGGGACGGAGAAGGCUAGGCUAGCCGGGCGACGGUUGUCCCGGUUUAAGCGUGUAGGGGGUGUGACCUGGUAAAUCCGGUUACAUACNNNNNNNNNNNNNNNNNNNNNNNNNNNNNNNNNNNNNNNNNNNNNNNNNNNNNNNNNNNNNNNNNNNNNNNNNNNNNNNNNNNNNNNNNNNNNNNNNNGAAUCGUACCCCAAACCGACACAGGUGGUCAGGUAGAGAAUACCAAGGCGCUUGAGAGAACUCGGGUGAAGGAACUAGGCAAAAUGGUGCCGUAACUUCGGGAGAAGGCACGCUGGCAUGUAGGUGAAGUCCUUCGCGGAUGGAGCUGAAGCCAGUCGAAGAUACCAGCUGGCUGCAACUGUUUAAUAAAAACACAGCACUGUGCAAACACGAAAGUGGACGUAUACGGUGUGACGCCUGCCCGGUGCUGGAAGGUUAAUUGAUGGGGUCAGCCGCAAGGCGAAGCUCUUGAUCGAAGCCCCAGUAAACGGCGGCCGUAACUAUAACGGUCCUAAGGUAGCGAAAUUCCUUGUCGGGUAAGUUCCGACCUGCACGAAUGGCGUAAUGAUGGCCAGGCUGUCUCCACCCGAGACUCAGUGAAAUUGAACUCGCUGUGAAGAUGCAGUGUACCCGCGGCAAGACGGAAAGACCCCGUGAACCUUUACUAUAGCUUGACACUGAACAUUGAGCCUUGAUGUGUAGGAUAGGUGGGAGGCUUUGAAGCGUGGACGCCAGUCUGCGUGGAGCCAUCCUUGAAAUACCACCCUUUAAUGUUUGAUGUUCUAACUCGGCCCCAUAAUCUGGGGUGAGGACAGUGUCUGGUGGGUAGUUUGACUGGGGCGGUCUCCUCCCAAAGAGUAACGGAGGAGCACGAAGGUUAGCUAAUCACGGUCGGACAUCGUGAGGUUAGUGCAAAGGCAUAAGCUAGCUUGACUGCGAGAGUGACGGCUCGAGCAGGUACGAAAGUAGGUCUUAGUGAUCCGGUGGUUCUGAAUGGAAGGGCCAUCGCUCAACGGAUAAAAGGUACUCCGGGGAUAACAGGCUGAUACCGCCCAAGAGUUCAUAUCGACGGCGGUGUUUGGCACCUCGAUGUCGGCUCAUCACAUCCUGGGGCUGAAGUAGGUCCCAAGGGUAUGGCUGUUCGCCAUUUAAAGUGGUACGCGAGCUGGGUUUAGAACGUCGUGAGACAGUUCGGUCCCUAUCUGCCGUGGGCGUUGGAAGAUUGAGAGGGGUUGCUCCUAGUACGAGAGGACCGGAGUGAACGCACCACUGGUGUUCGGGUUGUCAUGCCAAUGGCAUUGCCCGGUAGCUAAGUGCGGAAAAGAUAAGCGCUGAAAGCAUCUAAGCGCGAAACUUGCCUCAAGAUGAGUCUUCCCUGG
The sequence is a ribosomal RNA, 2484 nucleotides long. It matches the Rfam family "Bacterial large subunit ribosomal RNA", at positions 359 to 2818 of the family's 2925-position model.